GGGGAAUCUUGGACAAUGGGCGCAAGCCUGAUCCAGCCAUGCCGCGUGAGUGAUGAAGGCCCUAGGGUCGUAAAGCUCUUUCGCCAGGGAUGAUAAUGACAGUACCUGGUAAAGAAACCCCGGCUAACUCCGUGCCAGCAGCCGCGGUAAUACGGAGGGGGUUAGCGUUGUUCGGAAUUACUGGGCGUAAAGCGCGCGUAGGCGGAUUAGUUAGUCAGAGGUGAAAUCCCAGGGCUCAACCCUGGAACUGCCUUUGAUACUGCUAGUCUUGAGUUCGAGAGAGGUGAGUGGAAUUCCGAGUGUAGAGGUGAAAUUCGUAGAUAUUCGGAGGAACACCAGUGGCGAAGGCGGCUCACUGGCUCGAUACUGACGCUGAGGUGCGAAAGUGUGGGGAGCAAACAGGAUUAGAUACCC
This 414-nucleotide ribosomal RNA is filed under the name uncultured Roseovarius sp. RNAcentral describes it as "bacterial SSU rRNA". It matches the Rfam family "Bacterial small subunit ribosomal RNA", at positions 356 to 787 of the family's 1533-position model. The record is from RNAcentral. Lineage: Bacteria; Pseudomonadati; Pseudomonadota; Alphaproteobacteria; Rhodobacterales; Roseobacteraceae.